This 256-nucleotide ribosomal RNA is filed under the name uncultured bacterium. RNAcentral's name for it is "partial 16S ribosomal RNA". It matches the Rfam family "Bacterial small subunit ribosomal RNA", at positions 524 to 777 of the family's 1533-position model. The record is from RNAcentral.
UACGUAGGGACCAAGCGUUGUUCGGAUUUACUGGGCGUAAAGGGCGCGUAGGCGGCAAUUCAAGUCAUCUGUGAAAUCUCCGGGACUUAACUCGGAACGGUCAGAUGAUACUGCUUUGCUAGAGUGCGGAAGGGGCAAUCGGAAUUCUUGGUGUAGCGGUGAAAUGCGUAGAUAUCAAGAGGAACACCUGAGGUGAAGACGGGUUGCUGGGCCGACACUGACGCUGAUAGCGCGAAAGCCAGGGGAGCAAAACGGG